GAUGAACGCUGGCGGCGUGCCUAAUACAUGCAAGUCGAGCGAACGGACCUGCAGUUCGUUUUGCUGAUGUUAUCGGCGGACGGGGGAGUAACACGUGGAUCACCUACCUUUUAGACUGGGAUUACUUCGGGAAACCGGAGCUAAAGCCGAAUAAUCUUUUGAACUGCAUGGUGCAGCAGUGAAUGACGGACUUUCUGCUACUGAUAGAGGAAUCGGUGCUGCAUUAGCUGGUUGUUGAGGUAACGGCUAACUAAGGCAACGACGGCGAGCCGCCGUGAGAGUGUGAUCGGCCACACUGGAAUUGAGACACGGUCAAGGCCCCUACGGGAGGCAGCAGUAGGAGAUCGUCAGAAAUGGGAGAAAGCCGGACGGAGAAACGGCGCGUGAGUGAUGGAGGUCUUCGCAUCGUAAAACUCUGCUCCUUGGGAAGAACAGAUGUGUAAGUAACUGUGCACAUCUUGACGGUACUGAAUCAGAAAGCAACGGCUAACUACGUG
RNAcentral lists this ribosomal RNA (497 nucleotides) under uncultured bacterium. RNAcentral describes it as "partial 16S ribosomal RNA". It matches the Rfam family "Bacterial small subunit ribosomal RNA", at positions 28 to 507 of the family's 1533-position model. The record is from RNAcentral.